Long non-coding RNA from Nothoprocta perdicaria, 245 nucleotides. RefSeq lists it as uncharacterized. The transcript has 3 exons. The record is from RefSeq and is a predicted model, not a curated record. NCBI's taxonomy places the organism in Eukaryota, Metazoa, Chordata, Aves, Tinamiformes, Tinamidae.
UUGGAGGAACUGAUGUUGGUUUCUGAGGCAGGAUGGCCAACCAUGCAGUCAGCUAGUGUUCCUGAUGGACUGGGCUCGCUGUAGAACAUGAGAAAGCUUCUCUGGGAUGGGCCCUCUCUGAGGUUCUCCAAACUCUGUAUGGGACAGAUAGCUGCUGGCCUAUUGUAUCCACAGGUCUUACCAUGAGACGAUUGUCCAAGCAGAAAGUAAAAAUUUUUUCAGCACAUCAUCAGCUGUCAGUGUGG